Silurus meridionalis is the source of this 612-nucleotide long non-coding RNA. RefSeq lists it as uncharacterized. NCBI's taxonomy places the organism in Eukaryota, Metazoa, Chordata, Actinopteri, Siluriformes, Siluridae. The transcript has 3 exons. The record is from RefSeq and is a predicted model, not a curated record.
GGAGAAUCUUCGCACAACUUCAUUUGGAGAUCAGUUUUCUUACCUGAAGAAAAAUGUCAGUAAGAGUGAGAAGGACCAGACACCCUGUAACUAUGGAGACAUGCGAAUGCUCUGGUUAAAGCUGAGUGAGUUUCUUGGACGAUCUCCUCCUUCUAUCCUAGAGACCUAUUCGUUCCAUUUACUCAAAUAUUUUGAUGUGGAAGGCACUACAAAUGCUCCCCUAAGAGUCCAAGAAAAGAGGAAUAAAAAUGAACAGGACCCAGAAAAAAGACAGACCCUGGAAAGAAAAUAUUAUGAACGAUUGUUGAAGCACAGCGCAUCUUCACAGACCAGCAGAUGUGUACGCUGAAGAACUGUAUACUGACAUGGAAAUGGUUUUGAAAAUUUGAACCUGGAAAACGCAUCCAUAAAAACCUGAGCCAAAGCUGAGGCUGGUGUAGGACGAGCUGGAGCAGCAUGGAGCAUCUUCUCAGCUGAAGCUAACAGUCCAAAUGCUUCUGCUGAGGCUGUGGUUGAAAGUCUGGAAAAAGGAGCCAUGGCUUAAACUAAAUUACAACUAAAGUUUCUGGGUUCUGGAGUUACACUGGGCAGCACAAUGGGUCACUUUUGUUA